Long non-coding RNA from Micropterus dolomieu (smallmouth bass), 448 nucleotides. RefSeq lists it as uncharacterized. Lineage: Eukaryota; Metazoa; Chordata; Actinopteri; Centrarchiformes; Centrarchidae. The transcript is spliced from 3 exons. The record is from RefSeq and is a predicted model, not a curated record.
UUAGCAGAUUGUCACUCACCUUGCUGAUGCGGUAGGAGAUGGCAGGGAGGAAGGAAUAUGACUCUUUUACAGAUUCCAUUGAACCUAGAAGUGCGGAGAUUCCUAUGACUGCUGCUUUACUGCUCGACAUCCCAGACAUCUUACUGGCCUUCGCUGCUGCGCGAAGGUGAGGCAGGAACUCCUAAUGAUGCAAUAAGAUGGGUGCUGUCCUGCGUAUCGAACCUGUGGCUCUCUGAGAGUCCGGCACUGCACUUCCUGCUGCUUCCCUGAUUGGGUACCAGAGAGAGGGGGUCUGGUCUGAUCAGUGCUAUCAAUUAUAUUUGGCGUUGUGUACUCACACAACAUCGUGCAGCUCCAGUCUGGUGUCUGGAGAAGGGUUGAUGAGGAUAUAAGACAGUCUGUUCCCUUGGUCUGUCAUCCCAUCUGACACAGGAAGAAAAGAGGUGAG